CCUACGGGAGGCAGCAGUGAGGAAUAUUGGUCAAUGGCCGGAAGGCUGAACCAGCCAUGCCGCGUGAAGGUCAGUGCCCUAUGGGCGUUAAACUUCUUUUGUGCGGGAGCAAUAAUGGUCACGUGUGGCCAGACGAGAGUACCGUACGAAUAAGCAUCGGCUAACUCCGUGCCAGCAGCCGCGGGAAUACGGGGGAUGCAAGGGUUAUCCGGAUUUAUUGGGUUUAAAGGGGGCGUAGGAGGUGAGGUAAGUCAUAGGUGAAAUGCCCCCGCUCAACGGGGUGAAGUGCCAUUGAUACUGCCUGGCUGGAAUGCGGAUGCGGUGGGAGGAAUGUGUGGUGUAGCGGUGAAAUGCGUAGAUAUCACACAGAACACCGAUUGCGAAGGCAUCUCACGAAUCCGCGAUUGACGCUGAUGCACGAAAGCGUGGGUAUCAAACAGGAUUAGAUACCCUGGUAGUC
This 460-nucleotide ribosomal RNA is filed under the name uncultured bacterium. RNAcentral's name for it is "partial 16S ribosomal RNA". It matches the Rfam family "Bacterial small subunit ribosomal RNA", at positions 338 to 795 of the family's 1533-position model. The record is from RNAcentral.